RNAcentral lists this ribosomal RNA (696 nucleotides) under uncultured bacterium. RNAcentral's name for it is "bacterial SSU rRNA". It matches the Rfam family "Bacterial small subunit ribosomal RNA", at positions 111 to 823 of the family's 1533-position model. The record is from RNAcentral.
UAACGCGUGAGGAACCUGCCUCAAAGAGGGGGACAACAGUUGGAAACGACUGCUAAUACCGCAUAAGCCCACGGCUCGGCAUCGAGCAGGGGGAAAAGGAGCAAUCCGCUUUGAGAUGGCCUCGCGUCCGAUUAGCUAGUUGGUGAGGUAACGGCCCACCAAGGCGACGAUCGGUAGCCGGACUGAGAGGUUGAACGGCCACAUUGGGACUGAGACACGGCCCAGACUCCUACGGGAGGCAGCAGUGGGGAAUAUUGCACAAUGGGGGAAACCCUGAUGCAGCGACGCCGCGUGGAGGAAGAAGGUCUUCGGAUUGUAAACUCCUGUUGUUGAGGAAGAUAAUGACGGUACUCAACAAGGAAGUGACGGCUAACUACGUGCCAGCAGCCGCGGUAAAACGUAGGUCACAAGCGUUGUCCGGAAUUACUGGGUGUAAAGGGAGCGCAGGCGGGAGAACAAGUUGGAAGUGAAAUCCAUGGGCUCAACCCAUGAACUGCUUUCAAAACUGUUUUUCUUGAGUAGCGCAGAGGUAGGCGGAAUUCCCGGUGUAGCGGUGGAAUGCGUAGAUAUCGGGAGGAACACCAGUGGCGAAGGCGGCCUACUGGGCACCAACUGACGCUGAGGCUCGAAAGUGUGGGUAGCAAACAGGAUUAGAUACCCUGGUAGUCCACACCAUAAACGAUGAUUACUAGGUGU